This 1059-nucleotide long non-coding RNA is filed under the name Numida meleagris (helmeted guineafowl). RNAcentral's name for it is "lncRNA (ENSNMEG00000017533.1)". Lineage: Eukaryota; Metazoa; Chordata; Aves; Galliformes; Numididae. The record is from RNAcentral.
CUGAAAGAUAAUGUACAUGCCGUUUCCUGGGUCUGUAUUAAGCAGCUUUGCCUUCACUGCUAAUAAAGAUUCUGUGGGAAGGAGAGAGGAUGCUUCUGUUAGUAUUUGUUGGCAGGGAAAAAUAUUCCGCUGUUGGAAUCUGUAGCCCACUGUUGUGUAUCUAUUAUGUGUGUGUCUGUUACAGCAAAGAAAAGCAUGAAACAUUACAUGUCUAGAUUUUAAUAGUCUCAUGGCUGAAAUUCCUUCAAAUUUUGAUUCCAGUUUGUGAUUAUUGGAUUGUUCCUUCUGUUUCUGGCCAAUUAUUCAAACAAAGCAAGCAAAUCUUUUAUUAUGAAAUUCCCAACAAUAUGGUAAAAACCCAUGGUAUUUUCUCAAUGCAUAUGAGUAUUAGAAACUUUGAAGUGGAAAGGAUAGUUUUAGGAAAGCCUUGCAAGUCCUGCCUUUAUUUUAUUCAUAAUUUCUAGGUACUUGGUGGAGUUGGAUGCUCAGUGCAGAGUACAGUGAUGCAACAACAGAGCAGUGGCUUCAGGUGGUUAGCCUCAGGAGGAUGCUGACACCAAGGGCUGAGGGAGGAGGAAGUCCAGAGCCCACAUGUGUCUGCCAGGGUGGCUGUGGCACACGCUGAAACCAGCAGUCUUGGUUUGUCCAGCAAAUGUGGGAUUGCAAACCCCAGCAGUUUUUCCACUUGGCAAGAUAUACCACAAGCAGGCAAGCUUGGAAAAAAUUCAGCGUUUCUCCACCACCUCUGUUCCUGUGGAGCCUCCCAGGCUGCUUCUGCCAGUGAUCAAAGGAUGCAGCAAGGAAUGGAUGUCAUCUUCUGAGCUGUACUCAGAUACUUCAAAGGCUUCUGCUUUGCCAUUAAGACAAGCAUCAGUUUUUUUGAUCCAGGCUGGAGUCGGAUGUGCAGCAUCUCGUGCAGUCUUGAGAACUAAGCAGCAAACAAGAUGAGUCAAAGUAAGUUAUUUGUGCCAAAAAAAGCAAGUGAUAGCUUAAUUGGCCAAUCAAUUCAGAAUAGACUCUGCAGUGAAAUAAAUGGCAAUUUGAUUAUGUGCUGCUUCA